Sitophilus oryzae (rice weevil) is the source of this 636-nucleotide long non-coding RNA. RefSeq lists it as uncharacterized. The transcript has 3 exons. The record is from RefSeq and is a predicted model, not a curated record. Lineage: Eukaryota; Metazoa; Arthropoda; Insecta; Coleoptera; Curculionidae.
AGUCCCUAGAUAUAUAAAGUACCGCAAUUACCGCCAUAUUGGCGCCAAAACUAGCGGCAAAUUUAAAAAGGAGGCCAACAUUUCGCUGUUUCGGCUUUUUAAGCAGCUGGUCGGUCCGGCGCCAAUAUGGCCGACCAACAUUGACAGGCAAGCCGUAAAAUAAAAUAUUUAUUAAUUGUAAUAGAAUUACGUUUAUUAUCUACAGUUUACCUUCAUUUUAAUGCCUAUAUAUGUUAAGAGGUUAUAAACGAAUGGUUUCCGUACAAGUGUUUUUCAUUUGUAUUAGCAUUUAUGUUAUGUUACCUUUUAGCGCAAAGUACGCCAACAGAAUACUUAAUUCAGUCGAAACAAUUGGAAAAACUUUGUUUGUUGAUGAGAACGGGAUACCUAUACCAUAAGUAAACUUUCCCUAUUAUACCAGUUAUGCUGUAGUUAGUUUUGACAAAUAAGCAUGAUUUAACGAAAGCCUUUGGAACUAUGAAUAAGCUACAAACUUAUAUUUGAAUGCCGGCUUUUAUACGAGAAAAUUUUGAACCAUGGUUGAAACAAAUAAAUGUAAUAAUUAAAUUGAUAUGAUACAUACCUGCUAUUUUUGAAAUAUAUUAAUAUAUUGAUAGAAAGAUUGUUUCAAUUAGU